GUAGGGAAUAUUGGUCAAUGGACGAAAGUCUGAACCAGCCAUUCAGCGUGCAGGAAGAAGAUUCUAUGGAUUGUAAACUGCUUUUAGCAGAGAAGAAACGCCUUCAUUGAUGAGGGUUUGACGGUAUCUGCGGAAUAAGCACCGGCUAACUCCGUGCCAGCAGCCGCGGUAAUACGGGGGGUGCAAGCGUUAUCCGGAAUCACUGGGUUUAAAGGGUGCGUAGGCGGGAAAUUAAGUCAGUGGUGAAAGUCUGUUGCUUAACGAUAGAAUUGCCGUUGAUACUGAUUUUCUUGAAUUGGGUUGAGGUUAGCGGAAUGUGACAUGUAGCGGUGAAAUGCAUAGAUAUGUCAUGGAACACCAAUUGCGAAGGCAGCUAGCUGGGCCUUGAUUGACGCUGAGGCACGAAAGCGUGGGUAGCGAACAGGAUUAGAAACCCGAGUAGUCC
This 445-nucleotide ribosomal RNA is filed under the name uncultured bacterium. RNAcentral's name for it is "partial 16S ribosomal RNA". It matches the Rfam family "Bacterial small subunit ribosomal RNA", at positions 354 to 796 of the family's 1533-position model. The record is from RNAcentral.